RNAcentral lists this ribosomal RNA (470 nucleotides) under uncultured bacterium. RNAcentral's name for it is "bacterial SSU rRNA". It matches the Rfam family "Bacterial small subunit ribosomal RNA", at positions 8 to 507 of the family's 1533-position model. The record is from RNAcentral.
AGAGUUUGAUCAUGGCUCAGAUUGAACGCUGGCGGCAGGCCUAACACAUGCAAGUCGAACGGUAACAGGAAACAGCUUGCUGUUCGCUGACGAGUGGCGGACGGGUGAGUAACGCGUGGGAAUCUACCCCAAACUGAGGGAUAAGCAUUGGAAACGAUGUCUAAUACCGCAUAUGGUCUUCGGAUUAAAGCUUCGGCGGUUUGGGAAGAGCCCGCGUAAGAUUAGCUAGUUGGUGAGGUAAAGGCUCACCAAGGCGACGAUCUUUAACUGGUUUGAGAGGAUGAUCAGUCACACUGGAACUGAGACACGGUCCAGACUCCUACGGGAGGCAGCAGUUAGGAAUUUUCCACAAUGGGCGAAAGCCUGAUGGAGCAAUGCCGCGUGCAGGAUGAAGGCCCUAGGGUUGUAAACUGCUUUUAUACGUGAAGAAUAUGACGGUAACGUAUGAAUAAGGAUCGGCUAACUCCGUG